AUGCUUCAAGAAACGUUGAUUUAUCGUAACCUCACUUUAUGAUAUAAUUAGCAACCUCCUGAUGGGCGAUGGGGGUGUGACUGCUCUUUAUUUGACUGCGGGUUUUAUGUGAGAUGUGUGGUUUAAUGGAAUUAAUCUAAACCACACAUCAUAUUACAUCUACAAACUAAGAGAUGAAAUGGUUUCAUCAUUUCACAAGGAGAUACUAUACACAAAAUCAGCUGCACAUAACGAAAAAUGCAUUUUGGGUGCAUUAGUGAGUUAACAAACCGUGAAGCAUAUUGCGCACCUCAUCCAGUUAAUACAGCUUAUGUCUUUAUGUUUGCUUAUUCAUUGUUAACAAUUGCCUAACGAUUACAAAACCUCCUACUUUUUAAAGUCAUUUAUUGGGUAUUUGAUGUUAGUCAAGAGUUCGUUCGAUGUGUUUGAAUUGUUCCUGUAACAUAAAAAGUACCCACAACGAAGUUAAAAGGUUCAUUUGAUGUCAUAUGU
RNAcentral lists this long non-coding RNA (492 nucleotides) under Helianthus annuus (common sunflower). RNAcentral describes it as "hypothetical non coding rna". Lineage: Eukaryota; Viridiplantae; Streptophyta; Magnoliopsida; Asterales; Asteraceae. The record is from RNAcentral.